AUACGUAGGUGGCAAGCGUUGUCCGGAAUUACUGGGCGUAAAGGGUGCGCAGGCGGACAUUUAAGUGAGAUGUGAAAUACCCGGGCUUAACCCGGGCAGUGCAUUUCAAACUGGGUGUCUGGAGUGCAGGAGAGGAGAACGGAAUUCCUAGUGUAGCGGUGAAAUGCGUAGAGAUUAGGAAGAACACCAGUGGCGAAGGCGGUUCUCUGGACUGUAACUGACGCUGAGGCACGAAAGCGUGGGUAGCAAACAGGAUUAGAUACCCUGGUAGUCCACGCCGUAAACGAUGAGUACUAGGUGUAGGAGGUAUCGACCCCUUCUGUGCCGCAGUAAACACAAUAAGUACUCCGCCUGGGAAGUACGAUCGCAAGAUUAAA
RNAcentral lists this ribosomal RNA (377 nucleotides) under uncultured bacterium. RNAcentral describes it as "bacterial SSU rRNA". It matches the Rfam family "Bacterial small subunit ribosomal RNA", at positions 523 to 898 of the family's 1533-position model. The record is from RNAcentral.